AAGUCGUAACAAGGUAACCGUAGGUGAACCUGCGGUUGGAUCAUUACUAAAUGAUUUUCACUAGGCUUUUGAACUCUUAACAGAGAUCGAGUCUAGUGUCUUUACACCCUGUGAACUUUAUCGUAUUUCGAGUGCGCAGUUUACUGCGUGCUCGGCCGUAACAAACCCCUUUUAACCUAGACUGAAUCUUUUAUUAUAUAAAAGAUAAACAACUUUUGACAACGGAUCUCUUGGCUCUC
RNAcentral lists this unclassified non-coding RNA (239 nucleotides) under Coralloidiomyces digitatus. Its description in RNAcentral is "partial internal transcribed spacer region". The stretch from base 1 to 46 matches the Rfam family "Eukaryotic small subunit ribosomal RNA", at positions 1786 to 1831 of the family's 1831-position model. The record is from RNAcentral. Lineage: Eukaryota; Fungi; Chytridiomycota; Chytridiomycetes; Rhizophydiales.